RNAcentral lists this unclassified non-coding RNA (811 nucleotides) under Hevea brasiliensis (rubber tree). The record is from RNAcentral. Lineage: Eukaryota; Viridiplantae; Streptophyta; Magnoliopsida; Malpighiales; Euphorbiaceae.
AAAGAAAAUAACAAGAAGCAACACAAACAAUAUGCAUAGAAAAUGAAACUUGUGAUCUGAUGAAAAUUUUCUAGAAGUCUAAGCCACCAAAAUAAAGUAAACAUUCAACUCAACUUUAGCAAUAGUAAAGCGUAUGCAGAACAAUGCGACAAAUUAAAAGAGAAAAAUGGUUCAAGCUGCCAAAAUUGUUUCAUAACAGAGACUAAGGGGACACUAAACUUCAAACAGCUUUGGCAUUGCAGAAGAUUCAACGCUCACGCCUUUGCCUUCCUAGGAGCCAACUGAGUCUCCGGCUCUUUCUUGACAGACUCUUCCUUCUCGGAUAAAAUCAACUCAAUAUGGCAGGGGUGAGACAUAUAGGGGUUAAUUCUUCCAUGUGCACGGUAAGUACGACGCCUCUGUUUUUGAGCUUCAUUCACUUGGAUGUGAGAUAUAUAAAGUGAAUCCACAUCAAGACCUUUCACCUCAGCAUUGCUUUCAGCAUUUUUGAGUAAAUCUAGAAUAAACCCUGCUGAUUUGACAGGCCAACGUCCUUGACCAUUUGAAUGGCGAUUCUUUGCCUGAGCAGUGCGACCAACCCCACGACAAAAUCGAGUGAAGGGAAUGGCUUGUUUGUGUGCAAGAACAUCCUCUAGAUAUCUCUUGGCCUUGUCCAAUGGCAUCUUCCUAAGAGCAUGUGCAGUCUCUCGUGUAUUCUUGAAAUGAACUCGGAGACUUGAACCCCUGGAUUUGCAAGAUUUAGUGGGGUUAUCGGGUUCCCUGGAAUACUUCACCAUGGCUUCCGGCGAUUGCUGUUGCUGUUGCUGCUGCU